This is a long non-coding RNA of Pieris napi, 884 nucleotides long. RefSeq lists it as uncharacterized. The record is from RefSeq and is a predicted model, not a curated record. Lineage: Eukaryota; Metazoa; Arthropoda; Insecta; Lepidoptera; Pieridae. The transcript has 2 exons.
UUAAAAAAAACACUCUUGACUGAAAUUGAAUGUCGUGAAUGAAACAACAAUAUUGAAUUAACAUACUUGAUAAAAUGACACAAAAAAAUACACGUCGAAUUGUAAAACUCCUUCGAGUCGACAAUCGACAUACAACAUCGAACACAAUAACUUAGGGAUGAGAGGUUAAUAAAAAAAGGCAGCUUCUGGCGGGCAGUCCGGCUGAGCUGAAGGGUGUGCGGCACGAAAAGCCGGAUGAUUCUCCAAUUCACGAUCUAUACGUAAGAUAAUUGGGAAUGGACGAAGGUCUACAUGAAAUCUGAAAAUUUGAAAUAUGCAGCAUAUACAAAAUUGUCUUACUUAUUUAAAUUUGUAAGUUAUUUGAAAAGGAAAUGUGUUGUGUCAUAGGGAUAUAACUCUGUGAUGAUAUAAGAACAGUAUGUUGGUAUUAUCGAUAGCCCGAAAGGGAUGAUUUGUUGUAAAUAUUGCCUAUGAAAACUGGCGGGAAAAACAAAUUUAUACCAAUUUGAUAUUGCAAGUUCUUAAGAAAUAUGCAUCCCUCUGUGCAUUAAAAAGUAGUCUAGUAAUAAUUUUUGUUUUGUUUAUAGAAAUAUAGUUUUAGUAUAAUACCAUUAAAUGUACCUUCUGGCGUUAAAAACUUGAGGUAUCAGACAGCAAUCUGCCAAGCUAAUCUCAUCUCCUACACAGUAUUUUCCAGCAACAGAAGAUAAUAUUUUUUCAACAGCUCGAAAUCCCCUUGUUAUCCAGUGCUGCGCCCAUUCCUUUUUUUUCUCUUCACCAACAUGGAUAAGAACUAUUAGGUUCUGUAGCGGUUGAAUUCCUGAUGAUAUUACCUAAAAUUAGAAAUGACUUUAUAUUUUCUAUAUUAUAGUUUUAUAAAUAUA